This 119-nucleotide ribosomal RNA is filed under the name Pteropus alecto (black flying fox). The record is from RNAcentral. Lineage: Eukaryota; Metazoa; Chordata; Mammalia; Chiroptera; Pteropodidae.
GUCUGCGGCCACGCCACCCUGAACGAGCCGAAUCCCGUCAGAUCUCGGAAGCUCAGCAGGGUCGGGCCGGGUUAGUACUUGGAUGGGAGACCCCCUAGGAAGACCAGGUGCUGUGGGCA